Non-coding RNA from Misgurnus anguillicaudatus (oriental weatherfish), 442 nucleotides. NCBI's taxonomy places the organism in Eukaryota, Metazoa, Chordata, Actinopteri, Cypriniformes, Cobitidae. The record is from the annotation of a RefSeq genome assembly.
UCAAUCCAUCUGCUUGUACAGUAUCCAAUUUUCAAAUGCCAAAAUGUUACUCAUCUUUUCUGUUUUAAUCUUUUGCCUAAGCUGUGGUGAGGCUAAUGAGAAGCUCAUCAGACCAGACAAAACCUUUGUGUCUAUAACUGAAGGAAGCAACAUCACGCUGUCCUGUACAUAUGAUGGAUCAGCUAACAGUCUCCACUGGUACCGACAGAUGUCUGGAUCAAGACCCGAGUUUCUAGUGUUGAUUGUUGAGUCCUCUAAAUUUGUAAUACCAUCUAAUCCACCUCAACCACACAUGUCCAUCAGACUCCAUAAUAAACAAGUGUAUCUGGAGAUCUCAUCUGCUGCUGUAUCAGACUCUGCUCUCUAUUACUGUGCACUGCAGCCCACAGUGACAGGAAAGACAACAACACUGUACAAAAACAUGGGUACUGUAAUUGUGUAA